Non-coding RNA from Camellia sinensis, 404 nucleotides. The record is from RefSeq and is a predicted model, not a curated record. NCBI's taxonomy places the organism in Eukaryota, Viridiplantae, Streptophyta, Magnoliopsida, Ericales, Theaceae.
AAUUUUAAUUAGAGAUAAAAUGGUAAAACAAAACAAUCAAUUUCACUUUCCCACUUCCCACUCUCCACGUCUCCUCAUUGCAGUUACAAUAUACACCGAAAUCCCCUCUGUAUCUACAUAACUCCCACACAGAGAAGACCCCAAACGAAACAACGAUACAGACCUAUCUUCCACAGAGAUCUCCAUGGGACACGGUGAAAAGGGUCGCCAUAGCAAAAAGCACAAAUCUUCUUCCAAGGAGGAUCAUAGGCCCACAGUUGUAGAAGACGAUGACUCCUAUUAUGUUGAGGAUUUAGAUGAUGAUUAUCGUGAUGGUAUAACUCUGAAUUUAAAUUGAAUUGAUUUUUUUGGAUGAUUUGGAUGACCUGAGUGAGUGAAUUGUGUGUGUAUAAUAGUAUAGAUGA